AAAAAAAAGCGUAAAAUAUUUAUUUCUUGGCAGAAGUACAUCAGACCACAUCUCCCAUCCUUCUUUUAAUUGCUUGGUGUUUGUUUGUGUUGUCUCAGGCUUUGCUGGUUUCCUCUGCAGGGCUGUGUGCUGCUCACAGCCCGUCACCUCACACAACCUCUCCCAGCCAGGGCAGCCCCAGCUCCUCAGGAGAGCCCCUGGCUGCAGGAGGGCAGCAGAGGCACAGGGGGUGCUGGGUUCAAGGCAGCACAGUGCAGCCUGGGUCGUUUUCAGUUUUUAGCCUUGUGGAGGGAGCUCUUCCCUUGGCAGAAUCCAAGCCAGCAAACCUAGGGCAGCAUCCUGAGUCACAGCCUGAGGCAGGGUGGAUGGGUCACACAGAGCAGCGUGGAGGGGGCUGGUGGGAAGGAAAGAGGUGCUGACGUGGGUGGGAGGUGGCACUGGCUGGUUGGCAGUGUCCUGUGGGCUUUGCUCAGGGUUUGGAGCUGCCCUGUGUGGGAUGGACACCCUGAGCUCCUGCUCCCAGCCAGGCAGGUACAGCCAGGUUCCAUCAUCAGCCAGGUUCCAUCAGCCAGGCACUGCCAGGUUCAUGAGCCAGGCAGGUACAGCCAGGUUCCAUCAGCCAGGUUCAUUAGCCAGGCAUUGCCAGGUUCCAUCAUCAGCCAGGUUCCAUCAGCCAGGCACUGCCAGGUUCCAUCAGCCAGGCACUGCCAGGUUCCAUCAACCAGGUUCCAUCAGCCAGGUUCAUUAGACAGGCACUGCCAGGUUCCAUCAUCAGCCAGGCACUGUGAGAUUCCAUCAACCAGGUUCCAUGAGCCAGGCACUGCCAGGUUCCAUCAGCCAGGCACUGCCAGGUUCCAUCAACCAGGUUCCAUCAGCCAGGUUCAUUAGACAGGCACUGCCAGGUUCCAUCAUCAGCCAGGCACUGUGAGAUUCCAUCAACCAGGUUCCAUGAGCCAGGCACUGCCAGGUUCCAUCAGCCAGGCACUGCCAGGUUCCAUCAUCAGCCAGGCACUGCCAGGUUCAUUAGCCAGGUUCCAUUAGC
Ficedula albicollis (Collared flycatcher) is the source of this 1042-nucleotide long non-coding RNA. RefSeq lists it as uncharacterized. The record is from RefSeq and is a predicted model, not a curated record. The transcript has 3 exons. NCBI's taxonomy places the organism in Eukaryota, Metazoa, Chordata, Aves, Passeriformes, Muscicapidae.